CGGACGGGUGAGUAAUGUCUGGGAAACUGCCUGAUGGAGGGGGAUAACUACUGGAAACGGUAGCUAAUACCGCAUAACGUCGCAAGACCAAAGAGGGGGACCUUAGGGCCUCUUGCCAUCGGAUGUGCCCAGAUGGGAUUAGCUAGUAGGUGGGGUAAAGGCUCACCUAGGCGACGAUCCCUAGCUGGUCUGAGAGGAUGACCAGCCGCACUGGAACUGAGACACGGUCCAG
Molecule: ribosomal RNA, 232 nt
Filed under: uncultured bacterium
Lineage: Bacteria
Description: partial 16S ribosomal RNA
Rfam family: Bacterial small subunit ribosomal RNA
Source: RNAcentral